UUAGUUUUAAAAGGAAGUCUAAGAUGUCAGGGAGGGUCAUGGUCUGGGGUGUCAAGUGUCUGUGGAAGCACCAUAUGGAGAAACGUUUCCACUUUUGCAGGUAAGUCUUACGAGUGGAGUCUCUUCUACUGUGCAGGAGGAUGUACUGGACCUGCUUUGAACAGGCUAACUCGUGGCUUUGAAAUCAUGAAGGAACCGUGCCGCCAGAUGAAGUUUCUGGAGCUGCAGAUGGAGAAGCCAACCAUUGUCCUGGGAGAGCAGAUCUGGUCUGUUGAGGAGAGGCCUUAGAGGAUGGAUGGACAUGCACAGCAGGCGCCGCAGAUCUUUUAUAGGCACCCUGCCUCGGGUCCGUGUCUGCUGCAGGGGUGAUGGGCAGGCUUGGUGGAACACGCUGCCGGUACCAGGUCUAUCUUCAGUGCCGAUGGGACCGGUGCCGAGGAAAGCUUCCUGCUGUAGGAAGUCAGGUCCCUGCUUUUGCACUCUACGUGAGCUGCGGCUGAGAUGCUGGGGGGUCGGAGUGACCAGGGAAGAGGUUCAGCACUGUCCCGAGUCCCAUCUUCAGCCAAGGACAGUUAAGAAGGAACUGAGAGGGGUGUGAGACACACAUGCUCAGGCAGACCCUAAUGAUGCC
Molecule: long non-coding RNA, 631 nt
Organism: Mauremys reevesii (Reeves's turtle)
Lineage: Eukaryota; Metazoa; Chordata; Testudines; Geoemydidae
Exons: 3
Source: RefSeq, a predicted model, not a curated record